Molecule: unclassified non-coding RNA, 211 nt
Filed under: Glomeraceae sp.
Lineage: Eukaryota; Fungi; Glomeromycota; Glomeromycetes; Glomerales; Glomeraceae
Description: partial contains 5.8S ribosomal RNA and internal transcribed spacer 2
Rfam family: 5.8S ribosomal RNA (bases 1-65)
Source: RNAcentral
GUGAAUCAUCGAAUUUUUGAACGCAAAUUGCACUCUCUUGGGAGAGUAUGAGUGUUUGAGGGUCAGAAUAAAAAAAAUCGACGUAGUCGAUGUUUUGGGGUUACAUUCGUUGGAAAUUGGGCCAUCUUUAACCUUUGGGAUUUUUAAGGGGCUUAAAAUCUUGUUUACGAUUCUACGAAUGUUUCUAAGAUUUUACUUCUUACACACGUUU